UACGAAGGGGGCUAGCGUUGCUCGGAAUCACUGGGCGUAAAGCGUACGUAGGCGGAUUGCUAAGUCAGGGGUGAAAUCCUGGAGCUCAACUCCAGAACUGCCUUUGAUACUGGCGAUCUCGAGUCCGGGAGAGGUGAGUGGAACUGCGAGUGUAGAGGUGAAAUUCGUAGAUAUUCGCAAGAACACCAGUGGCGAAGGCGGCUCACUGGCCCGGUACUGACGCUGAGGUGCGAAAGCGUGGGGAGCAAACGGG
Molecule: ribosomal RNA, 253 nt
Filed under: uncultured bacterium
Lineage: Bacteria
Description: partial 16S ribosomal RNA
Rfam family: Bacterial small subunit ribosomal RNA
Source: RNAcentral